Molecule: transfer RNA, 66 nt
Filed under: Gymnopternus congruens
Lineage: Eukaryota; Metazoa; Arthropoda; Insecta; Diptera; Dolichopodidae
Description: tRNA-His
Source: RNAcentral
GUUUAAAUAGUUUAAUAAAAAUAUUGAUUUGUGGUGUCAAUGAUAUGAAUUAUUUCAUUUUAGACC